Molecule: ribosomal RNA, 253 nt
Filed under: uncultured bacterium
Lineage: Bacteria
Description: partial 16S ribosomal RNA
Rfam family: Bacterial small subunit ribosomal RNA
Source: RNAcentral
UACGUAGGGUGCAAGCGUUGUCCGGAAUUAUUGGGCGUAAAGAGCUCGUAGGCGGUCUGUCGCGUCUGCUGUGAAAAUCCAGGGCUCAACCCUGGACCUGCAGUGGGUACGGGCAGACUAGAGUGUGGUAGGGGAGACUGGAAUUCCUGGUGUAGCGGUGAAAUGCGCAGAUAUCAGGAGGAACACCGAUGGCGAAGGCAGGUCUCUGGGCCAUAACUGACGCUGAGAAGCGAAAGCAUGGGGAGCGAACAGG